UGGCUGGUCUAUGAGGUACAAAACUAAAGAUGAAGUGGCUGUCAAAUCUGCUGCUGAAGAGCACACCAAAACUGGUUUAAGAAGCAUCCCAACACCGAGGUGAUAGUAUAUGUUUUGUUCUUGUCCAGACACAUGUUCUGCUUGAUAGUGAACUGCAGACAGCUCAUAUUAAGAGCAUAUGAAAGGAGUGGAACAUUCCUACUGGUCCGGGGCACAUUGGCAUGUUAUUUACGAGGAAAUGGUUGCAAGAUGGCAACAGCAUAACUUGACAAAACUGUCAACAAAGUAACUCUUUUUAUGUUGAGGCAUGUAAUUUAUGUGCUAGCUUUUAUCUGCUAACUGCUCAUUGGAGGACGUUAAAUAGUCUUAUGAGGUGAGUAUAUAACAACUAUGGACAGAUAAUGAAGAAAUAUUCUGAGAUAAAACCUUCGAGUGAUAUGGUAAUUGAAUUUUUCAAUUUUUUUUUAGCUUUUUAUCUUUUCCGAGUAAUAUUUAUCUUGCGUAGUAAGUUGUCUGCCUACCUAAUAUGAUUCAAAUAGAUGUGUACUUAUGAAUAUACUUUAUGAUAGCCAUCUUGUUCUACCAGUAAGAGCUGGUGCUUUUUAGUGCCACUUUCUAAUUAUGUCCUCCACUCAAAUAUCAUUGAAUAAUGUCUUUCUUGAUUUCUUCCUAACUGGUUUUGCAACUCAAAAGAAGACAAAGAUGCCUCCUCUUCCUUACAUACUUCUUGGAGAAUACCUUAGUUUUCCUCUUGAAAUUAACUUGCACUACGACGCUUUCCAUUAUUUGCAAGCUAAAUGUUCAUAAAUGCAGGAGUAUAUUUCUUUAACAAGGAGAUCCACUAAGGCUGUUGGUACUGUUUUUCCAGAUUCAGUAUAUCUCCAAAUAUGAGGAUAUCUCCUAAGGUUGGGUUGUGGAGAUGUUGGAAGUGGCUACUUGGCUGAACUGAGUCGAACCAAAUGUUACUUUGCUAUGGAAGUCACAGAUAAAGUAUCUUUUGCCAGCCGCCACAAAGCUCUUCAUGCUCAGACCAAAAGAGAAAUUUUACAGUCCCUUGAUCAUCUUUUUCUUCCAUCACGCUACAGACACUUCGAGACUGAUAAGUUCUCAUGUUUGGUCAUGGAUUCUACCCUGGAGGGGAUCUUCACACUCUUACGCAGAGACAGCCAAGGAAACAUUUUUCUGAACAAGCGGUGAAGUAUAACCUCCUUUCAGUCUUUGGA
This is a long non-coding RNA of Lycium ferocissimum, 1223 nucleotides long. RefSeq lists it as uncharacterized. The transcript is spliced from 6 exons. The record is from RefSeq and is a predicted model, not a curated record. Lineage: Eukaryota; Viridiplantae; Streptophyta; Magnoliopsida; Solanales; Solanaceae.